RNAcentral lists this ribosomal RNA (301 nucleotides) under uncultured bacterium. Its description in RNAcentral is "bacterial SSU rRNA". It matches the Rfam family "Bacterial small subunit ribosomal RNA", at positions 30 to 334 of the family's 1533-position model. The record is from RNAcentral.
AUUGAACGCUGGCGGCAGGCCUAACACAUGCAAGUCGAGCGCGAAAGGUCUUCGGAUUGAGUAGAGCGGCGGACGGGUGAGUAACGCGUGGGAAUCUGCCUGGUAGAGGGGGAUAACUUGGGGAAACUCAAGCUAAUACCGCAUACGCCCUACGGGGGAAAGCGGGGGAUCUUCGGACCUCGCACUAUCAGAGGAGCCCGCGUCGGAUUAGCUAGCUGGUGGGGUAAUGGCCUACCAGGGCGACGAUCCGUAGCUGGUCUGAGAGGAUGAUCAGCCACACUGGGACUGAGACACGGCCCAG